RNAcentral lists this ribosomal RNA (253 nucleotides) under uncultured bacterium. Its description in RNAcentral is "partial 16S ribosomal RNA". It matches the Rfam family "Bacterial small subunit ribosomal RNA", at positions 524 to 776 of the family's 1533-position model. The record is from RNAcentral.
UACGGAGGGUGCAAGCGUUAUCCGGAUUCACUGGGUUUAAAGGGUGCGUAGGCGGGCAGGUAAGUCAGUGGUGAAAUCUUUGGGCUUAACCCAAAAACUGCCAUUGAUACUAUCUGUCUUGAAUAUUGUGGAGGUGAGCGGAAUAUGUCAUGUAGCGGUGAAAUGCUUAGAUAUGACAUAGAACACCCAUUGCGAAGGCAGCUCACUAGGCAUAUAUUGACGCUGAGGCACGAAAGCGUGGGGAGCAAACAGG